RNAcentral lists this ribosomal RNA (548 nucleotides) under uncultured bacterium. Its description in RNAcentral is "bacterial SSU rRNA". It matches the Rfam family "Bacterial small subunit ribosomal RNA", at positions 355 to 896 of the family's 1533-position model. The record is from RNAcentral.
UGGGGAAUUUUGGACAAUGGGGGCAACCCUGAUCCAGCAAUGCCGCGUGUGUGAAGAAGGCCUUCGGGUUGUAAAGCACUUUUGUCCGGAAAGAAAACCGCUUCUCUAAUACAGGGGCGGGAUGACGGUACCGGAAGAAUAAGCACCGGCUAACUACGUGCCAGCAGCCGCGGUAAUACGUAGGGUGCAAGCGUUAAUCGGAAUUACUGGGCGUAAAGCGUGCGCAGGCGGUUCGCUAAGACCGAUGUGAAAUCCCCGGGCUUAACCUGGGAACUGCAUUGGUGACUGGCGGGCUAGAGUAUGGCAGAGGGGGGUAGAAUUCCACGUGUAGCAGUGAAAUGCGUAGAGAUGUGGAGGAAUACCGAUGGCGAAGGCAGCCCCCUGGGCCAAUACUGACGCUCAUGCACGAAAGCGUGGGGAGCAAACAGGAUUAGAUACCCUGGUAGUCCACGCCCUAAACGAUGUCAACUAGUUGUCGGGUCUUCAUUGACUUGGUAACGAAGCUAACGCGUGAAGUUGACCGCCUGGGGAGUACGGUCGCAAGAUUA